UACGGGGGGGGCAAGCGUUGUUCGGAAUUACUGGGCGUAAAGGGCUCGUAGGCGGUCUGUCGCGUCUGCUGUGAAAACUCAGGGCUUAACCCUGAGCUUGCAGUGGGUACGGGCAGACUAGAGUGCGGUAGGGGAGACUGGAAUUCCUGGUGUAGCGGUGAAAUGCGCAGAUAUCAGGAGGAACACCGGUGGCGAAGGCGGCAUCCUGGACCGACACUGACGCUGAGGAGCGAAAGCCAGGGGAGCAAACGGG
Molecule: ribosomal RNA, 253 nt
Filed under: uncultured bacterium
Lineage: Bacteria
Description: partial 16S ribosomal RNA
Rfam family: Bacterial small subunit ribosomal RNA
Source: RNAcentral